CUCUGGCGGGCAGCUUUUUCGUGUUGAUCAUUUUCGCUGCAUAUUCCUGCCCUGUCGAUAGUUUGACACAUCUGCGGACGGUGGAGAAAGCACCUCUGCCGACCUCCUCACAGCUCUGGAAUUCAGA
Amblyraja radiata (thorny skate) is the source of this 127-nucleotide long non-coding RNA. RefSeq lists it as uncharacterized. The transcript has 5 exons. NCBI's taxonomy places the organism in Eukaryota, Metazoa, Chordata, Chondrichthyes, Rajiformes, Rajidae. The record is from RefSeq and is a predicted model, not a curated record.